GGCAGUGGUAUCUCAGUGGUUAAGAUGUUGGACUAUUGAUCAGAAUGUCGUGAGUUAAAAUCCCAGCACUGUCA
Molecule: non-coding RNA, 74 nt
Organism: Ameiurus melas (black bullhead)
Lineage: Eukaryota; Metazoa; Chordata; Actinopteri; Siluriformes; Ictaluridae
Source: the annotation of a GenBank genome assembly